GACGUCUGACGUCUUGGGGGGGGGUAGAGGACGCAGAGGAGGAAGGAGAGCGGAGGAGAACGGCAGGGAAACAGUGCCGAGAAAAGAGCAAAACCAAAACCAAAACCAAUGUUUGAAUCGUCGCUUUGGUCUGUGUGCACUGUGAGAAACUUCAUUACUGGAGGUGUGGAUGCUAAAACAAGCUUUGGAGCUGUUUCUGUCAAACACGAGGCUGGACAUUAAGUACACCUGCGGUGCGAGGGGCUCACUGACUAACUUCAACCAACAAAUCAAAGAGAGAAGAGACAGACAUGAAGAUUUACACAAGGUCCAGGACUUCAGCUGCCAUCGUCUCCUCCUCCUGCUGAGACAGAACAUAUAUUAAUCACAGAAACUGAUAAAUAAAUCUUCUCCACUACAUUUUACAGUAAUACAUAUAAACCACAGAAAGGAAGUAAUGUAUGUGUUAAUUAUGAUAAUAACAAUCUUACUAAAAUUCUGCAAAAUUAUUUUGCUAUUAAUGAAUUGAUUUACCAUAUUAUUUAUUUAAAUUACUAAUUUGUUAUUUAUCAACAUUAAUAAACUGUUCAGGACUAUUUUGUUGCCUGAUCUGUUUUUAGAAAAGAAAUAAAAAUAUUU
Molecule: long non-coding RNA, 618 nt
Organism: Lates calcarifer (barramundi perch)
Lineage: Eukaryota; Metazoa; Chordata; Actinopteri; Centropomidae
Exons: 3
Source: RefSeq, a predicted model, not a curated record